Molecule: ribosomal RNA, 372 nt
Filed under: uncultured organism
Description: partial 16S ribosomal RNA
Rfam family: Bacterial small subunit ribosomal RNA
Source: RNAcentral
GUAGGUGGCAAGCGUUGUCCGGAAUUAUUGGGCGUAAAGCGCGCGCAGGCGGUUCUUUAAGUCUGAUGUGAAAGCCCACGGGCUCAACCGUGGAGGGUCAUUGGAAACUGGAGAACUUGAGUACAGAAGAGGAAAGCGGAAUUCCACGUGUAGCGGUGAAAUGCGUAGGGAUGUGGAGGAACACCAGUGGCGAAGGCGGCUUUCUGGUCUGUAACUGACGCUGAGGCGCGAAAGCGUGGGGAGCAGACAGGAUUAGAUACCCUGGUAGUCCACGCCGUAAACGAUGAGUGCUAAGUGUUAGGGGGUUUCCGCCCCUUAGUGCUGCAGCUAACGCAUUAAGCACUCCGCCUGGGGAGUACGGCCGCAAGGCUG